UGUUUCUGAUUUCUAUUGAGCUCCUAUAUCAUAUGUGAUUAUUUACAGCUUUACAUACUCAGUACAUAUUUCGUACUGACGUCCCUCACGGGGGACCUGCAUUUCAUGCUGCAGGCACAGGUACCUCAACUCAUACACCGCACAAGUAGGAGCCAGGUCAUACAGCUAUUGUUGGUGAGCUCCAGUUUGCUUCGGAGCUUUCCGAGUCGGUUCCUUAUGUUUUGUUAUUGUACAUGAGUCACGUGUGGGCGGGGGUUUGUCCCGACCCUAGUUAUGUCAUGUAUAUCCUAGAGGCUUUGUAGACAUAAGGAAGGGUAAAGUCAUGGAAGUUUAUAUAGUAACGUUAUAUUUGUAUAUGUGGUGGCCCCGACGGCCAAGUAUUAUAUAUAUAUAUUUGUGCGUGUUGUGCUGAUACAGGUAAUUAGACCUUUCUAUAUGCAACGAAGUGCUGUCCAAUUUUUUUGGUGACAUGUAAGUGAAAGUACAGGUAUUUGAACGGGUUCUCCCGGGCCUUCUCGGCUUCGGGUGCCAGUCCGGCCCGAUGGGAUUUUGGGGCGUGACACAAGUGAUCAAAAAUCCACUAUGGUAUGAUGACACAUUUUUUAAAGACAAAACUCUCUUCUUAAAAGAUGAUAGUUUGUCAAUUGGAGGGGUUAGUGGUCCAAAAGAAGGGGGUGUAUGUUCUCCAAUGACCUAUUCAUUCUUGUGUGAACCCAUGCUUGAUCAAGGGCUUAAUGCUUGUAGAUCAAAGGGUGAUUCUAUAUGUGGGCACACCUUAAAUAAACUUUAUUUAAGUAACACCUUUCUAUACCACUUUUUUUGCAUAUGAUGAUACUCUUUCCUUUGAGUGGAGUAUGUUAUGUGAGAGUAGAGUGUCAAUGGGGCAAAUAGGUGUAUGAUUUUACCCAUGUUUAUGGAUUGCCUUUUCCUUUUGUCCUGGUAAUGAUUUGAAUAGUGGCGUUUGUGAUAAAAUACUUGGUUCAAAUGACAAGAAAGUUGUGGGUGAGGUUGUUGGCUUGCGUGGUGGUAAGUAUAGUAGUAACAUAUUUUUUCUCUCAUAUGAUUAUUGCUUGGUGUUAUUACUUGAUCUUAUAUGUUUAAUAAGAUAUAUUUGCCAAAUUAUGUAGAGAAUACCUUCGUAUUUAAUCUCCAAUGAUGAAUUAGGAGUAAUUCUAUUCUUUAAGAUAGUUAGUGCAUUGGAUAGAGUAUUGACUUGGAAUGACCUCAUUUAUGACAUGAAACAUAGUUAUAUGGGUUAUCAUGUGUUACAUGACUUAAAGGGAGAUUUUUUUUUCUAAAUUUAGAACCAUUGAGGACUUGUAUCAGUGGUUGCCUAAACACCAUGGUUCUUUUGAUUUGCCCCUUUGUCAAUGUUUCCUAUGUAGCCAAGUAUAUCAAUUUUUGUUGGGUGACAAACCAUUUAUGACUCAUUUUUUUGCUUGGUUAUAUGUUAAAUGUGUACACCCUUGGCAUGGCCAUAAAUUUGUUAUUGAUAAUCCUUGUGUUAAACCUCAUGCUACGAUGAUAUGUUUGUUGUUUUUCCUUCUCAUUUUUUAAAAAAGUUUGGAUUCGUGGAUGAAUUCUUUUGAUGAAGUGGAUCAUGAUUAGCUUGGAACAUAUUAGGAGGGUCUUCCAUGUAUGGAUGAUAUCUUGGAGUUUGAAGGAAGGCAUGAAGAAAUAGAUACAUAAGGUCAUUGGCAAUCAAGAUGCCAUUUGGCCAAUUAAGAAGGUCCCUUGUGAGUUAUUUGUAAAAUGGUCACAUUAGGGAGAUUUUUGUAAUAGACUUUUUCUGUAAAGGCACUGACUAUAAAUAGUUUCUUUAUCCAUUUUCAUCACUUAGAUUUGGAAAAGUGAAUUGUCUUGAAUAGAAUUGAUAUUUAGUUAUUCGAUAUUAGGGCAGUAAUUGGGUUCAAUUUCAAUUGUUAGCUUAGAUUGAGUGAUUAGGGUGUCUUUCUAAAUUGUUUGUGUUAUCUUCUUCACUUGAUUUAUCAUUAAGUUAUCAUAUUAUGGAUUCAAUCUGGUUUCUCGUCCAUUUGAUUAAGUUCUCUAUUUUUCUUAGCUUAAUUAUUAUUUGAUUAAGUCUUUCUUUCAGCACUUCUAUAAUACCCCAUAUUAUUAUUAGGUCAGUUCAUCUUCUAGUUGUAUGCAUAAGGGGCUUAAGGCCUAAAAAUUUCACUAAGUGUUGGGGAAUUAGUCAUUUAUAAGUCCUCUUAACUUCGAGGAUUUUUCGAUUGGUCUUCCCGAUCCUAAGGUGUUGGUUUUUGAGUUAAUUCAUAUUCAGGGAUGUAAGGAGCAUGUCUUAGAGAAGUUUCAAAUUUUUUGAAUGAGGUUUCGGUCAUGUUUGGAUCACAAAUCCAGAAAGUCACUGCGAUACGGCUGCGUCGCUUUAAUAUUUCCAUUUGCAUGCUCACUGCGUUGCGGUAAGGGAAAUGGAUGACUUCAAUUAGACCGCGUUGCGGUAAGUAUGUUAUGCCCAGUUAUGAAUUUAAUUGCCUGAGGGGAAAUUGUGUCUGUUCCCCUCAACCCAAAUCAUGCAUAACACGAAUUGAGACAUCAUUUAGAGCAUUAUUUGCCCUUCUUCUCUAAAUCCAUCUCAAGAAAACCCUUCCCACUUUCUCAAAAUCACCAAUUUCAAUUUUUUUCUCCCUAAAAAACCAAGGAACUCAAGCUUCAAAUUCAAGAAACCCUCAAGAAAUCUUCAAGAAAUCAUCUAUUAAGGUAUGUGGAUGUUCAUUCAUGGGUUUCUUUCUUUGGUAUUGAUGUAAUACCAGGCACCCAACCAAUCUCCAUUCCUCCGUAUAGAAUGGCCCCAGCAGAAUUACGAGAAUUGAAAGAGCAAUUGAAAGAUUUGCUAGAAAAGGGGUUCAUUAGGCCUAGUAUUUCCCCUUGGGGAGCACCAGUGUUAUUUGUACGCAAAAAGGAUGGCUCGCUGAGGAUGUGUAUUGAUUAUCGGCAAUUGAAUAAGGUGACUAUUAAGAAUAAAUAUCCUCUCCCAAGAAUUGAUGAUUUAUUUGAUCAGUUACAGGGCGCCAAGUGCUUUUCUAAGAUUGAUUUGAGGUCAGGUUACCACCAAGUGAGGGUCAAAGAAAAAGAUAUACCCAAAACAGCUUUCCGAACAAGGUAUGGUCAUUAUGAGUUUCUAGUUAUGUCAUUUGGGCUAACAAAUGCACCCGCAGCUUUUAUGGAUUUGAUGAAUAGGGUUUUUAAGCCAUUCCUGGAUGUAUUUGUGAUAGUUUUUAUAGAUGAUAUUCUAGUUUAUUCUAGAUCAGAAGAGGACCAUGCCAAUCACUUACGACAGGCAUUGCAGACUCUUCGUGAUUGUAAGCUUUAUGCAAAGUUCUCUAAAUGUGAGUUUUGGUUAAAGUCGGUGGCAUUUUUGGGUCAUAUUGUAUCUAGUGAAGGGAUAAAGGUUGAUGCUCAAAAGAUAGAGGCUGUGAAGAACUGGCCAAGGCCCACAACGCCUACGGAGAUUCGUAGUUUUCUUGGGUUGGCCGGUUAUUAUAGAAGGUUUGUCAAAGACUUUUCUUCCAUUUCAGCACCCUUAACCAAGCUAACCCAUAAAGCAUCCAAAUUCCAAUGGAAUGAUGCCUGUGAGAAGAGUUUUCAAGAUUUAAAGAACAAGUUGAUUUCUACACCCGUGUUGGUACUACCAGAAGGCACCGAAGGGUAUACAGUGUAUUGUGAUGCUUCCAGAAUUGGUUUAGGAUGUGUAUUGAUGCAGCAUGGUAAGGUAAUAGCAUAUGCUUCUAGACAAUUACGGCCACAUGAGAAAAAUUAUCCUACACACGAUCUUGAGCUGGCAGCGGUUAUUUUUGCUUUAAAGAUAUGGCGCCACUACUUAUAUGGGGUUCACGUUGAUAUAUAUACUGACCAUAAGAGCUUGCAAUAUAUUUUUAAUCAGAAGGAUCUAAAUUUAAGGCAGCGGAGAUGGCUUGAACUAUUAAAGGACUAUGAUGUUGAUAUCUUGUACCAUCCAGGGAAAGCAAAUGUGGUAGCUGAUGCGUUAAGUCGUAAGGCUAUGAUGGCGCCUAUAGAAAGGCAAGGGAUGGUUAAAGAUCUUCACCAGUUAGCUAGUUUGGGAGUUCGCCUUCUUGAAACUCCGAAUAAAGAGCUUAUCGUACAUAAUGCUGCGGAAUCUUCAUUAGUAGCUGAAGUGAAAGAGAAGCAAUAUGCAGAUCCUAUUUUAUUACAUCUUAAGGAGAACGUUCAGAGUGGUGCGACCAAGGCAUUUGAGCUUACGCGAGAAGGAGUACUUCAGUGCCAAAACCGAUUGUGUGUGCCGGAUAUAGACGGGCUAAGAAAGAAGAUUAUGACAGAGGCACAUUUUUCAAGGUAUUCCAUUCAUCCAGGAUCAACCAAAAUGUAUCAAGAUUUGAAAGAUAUGUAUUGGUGGAAUGACAUGAAGAAGAGCAUUGCAGAAUUUGUAGCUGAAUGUCCAAAUUGUCAAAGAGUUAAAGUUGAGCACCAAAAACCCGGAGGCUAUAUGCAAUGCAUAGAUCUUCCAAUUUGGAAGUGGGACAUGAUCAACAUGGAUUUUGUUACAGGUUUGCCUCGUACAGCUCGAAAAUUUGAUUCUAUAUGGGUGAUUGUGGAUAGGCUUACUAAAUCCGCACAUUUCUUACCCGUUAAGACCACUUACACAGUUGAAGAAUAUUCGAAGCUGUAUGUUAAAGAAAUAGUCCGAUUACAUGGAGUGCCAACUUCUAUUAUAUCGGAUCGGGGAACUCAAUUUACUGCAAACUUUUGGAAGUCUUUCCAACGGGGUUUGGGAACACAAGUGAAUCUGAGUACAGCUUUUCACCCUCAGACGGAUGGACAAGCAGAGCGCACCAUUCAAACACUUGAAGAUAUGCUACGAGCAUGUGUUAUAGAUUUUAAAGGCAGCUGGGAUGAUCAUUUACCUCUUAUUGAGUUUGCCUACAAUAAUAGCUAUCAUUCAAGUAUCAAAAUGGCACCAUAUGAAGCUUUAUAUGGGAGAAAGUGUAGAUCACCAAUAGGAUGGUUCGAAGCGGGUGAAACUCUUAUGUUCGGACCGGAUCUUGUGUAUCAAGCCAUAGAAAAAGUCAAGGUGAUACAACAACGGCUAAAAACAGCCCAAAGUCGUCAUAAAUCAUAUGCAGAUAUUCGGAGAAGAGGGCUGGAAUUCUCUAUUGGAGAUUGGGUAUUUUUAAAGGUAUCACCAAUGAAAGGGGUUAUGAGAUUUGGUAAAAAAGGGAAACUAAGCCCACGUUACAUAGGGCCAUAUAAGAUUACCAAGAGGGUCGGACAAGUUGCAUAUGAAUUAGAGCUACCCCAGGAACUUUCAAUGGUUCAUCCAGUGUUUCAUGUGUCAAUGCUUCGAAAAUGCAUAGGUGACCCCUCUCGUAUCACUCCUAUAGAAGAUGUACAGGUCACAGAGGAUCUUACUUAUGAAGAGGUACCGGUUGCUAUUCUAGAUCGCCAAGUUAAAAAGUUAAGGAACAAAGAAAUGGCAUCAGUAAAGGUACUUUGGAGAAAUCAACAAAGGGAAGAGAUUACAUGGGAAGCUGAGGAAGCAAUGAAAUCUAAGUACCCUCAUUUGUUCAAAGAUGAAGAGGAAGUUCAAGAAACGGAGUUAGAACAUUAACAAGUAAGUUUUUGUUUAUAUAUGCAUAGUAUUUAUGUGAUGAUGUGAAUGUUAAUGGUGGACUUGAACUUGUUUCGGCUAAAUAACUACAUUCACAUUCGAGGACGAAUGUCCUUAAGGGGGGAAGGAUGUAACACCCCGUACUUAAUUACGUGCAUUAGUCAUUGUUAUAUGUGUUGGGGUAUAUGUAUUGAUCCUAAGUUAGGUAUAUAUGAGUUUAAGUAUGAGUAUUGAUUAUUUUGAGAUGGUUUCAAGUGUAUAGUUUGAUUAUAGGUGUAUAGGAAUCGACUUUAUUUAUAUCGGAAUUUUCCCGUCGAUGGUUCCAUACGAAGGUUAUUGAAUAAGCUUUCCAACGAUAUAAAGAUUUCCAAAAACGGAUAAGUUUCGGAUAUAAGCGAGCUCGUUCGAAACUUUAAAACGGUGGCCGGGAUGUGAACAGUAAAAUGUGCAGGAAACUACUGAGGCCUGCCAGUUUUUUGGGUCAACUUUGAACGAUCAUAACUCCCUCAAUAUAAUGAACUGGUUGAGCUACCAUAUAUCAAAAGAAAGAUCUUUGAGUCUUCUUUCCAAUGAAAUUGGUUUCAUCCAAAUCCAACAUCUGAGUAAGGAGUUAUACUCGUUUUACUUCAGCCUCUCAAAACAGAUUUUUAGGGUCAACUUCAAACGAUCAUAACUACUUGUACAGGACGAACUGGGUGGAUUAAUUUAUAUUAAAUGAAAUACCUUUGAAUUAUCUUUCUAACGAUACCAAUUUCACCCAAAUCCGAUAUCGGAGCAAAGAGUUAUGGCCGAUUUACUUUAGCCUAUCAAAACAGUCCACCAUGGACAGAUUCGGAUUUACUUAAAUUUUUAAGGGCAAUAUGGUCAUUUUCCAUCACCUCAUGGACGAAAAUUGGUCAUUAUAUACAUAUACUUAGCCUUAUAUCCACCAUUUAUCAUCCAAAUCAUUGAAGAAUAAGAAACCCUAGCCUAAGUUCAACUCCAAUUAUCUUGUGAUUCAACCGUAGAAAAUCCAAAUUGAUUCCGUAGUUGUGUUCACCGUCUCAAGGGCUUCGAGAAGCACCCCUUAUUUGUGCCAACAGGACUUCGAAAUCAAAAGGGCCAUUUUUUUGGUAAGGAUGUAAAUUAUGUUGGUGUUAUUUAUAUGGAUAUGUAUAUAUAUAUAUGCAUGUGAGCAUAAGAAGUAUGUUAUUUGAUUGUUGUUGAAAGAUGAUUGGAAAUGAUGUUGGAUUAUUCUUGUGCAUGGUUGGAUUAUGUUAAAUUGUGAAGGAAUUUGGGGUGAUGAUGUAGUAUUGAUGAUGUGGUAUUGAAAUGAUGAUUAUAUAUAUAUACACACAUAAACCUAUUGUUCAAGUUGGUUUUUGGAAUGUUUUGCAAAUAUUGGUAGUAUGGAAUUAUGGAAGAGAAUUGUGGUGUUGGGUUGCUAAUACUAGAUGCCAAACAUUUCAUUGUAGAUAAGUGAUUUGUAAAGGCGGGAAGUUGUGUUGAAUUGGUAUCCGAAUCUACAACGAGGUAUGUAAAGCAUACUCUAACAAUGUUCUUUGGCAUGAAAACACCAAUGUUCCAUCAAGUAAGAUUCCGAGGUUGUCCAAAAACAUGUAUUGUUCUACGUUACCAACGAAGUUGUUUCCAUCCUAUAAAGUGUCAAAAUGUUUCAUUGAUAUACCAAAAGGCUCCUAUUUCAUUGUUGUGAUAUUGAUGAUUCUGAAACACAUUGUUGAUGUACCAAUGAGUCUUUAUUACAUCGUUAUUGUAUAGAAGGUCUAUUACUUGGUUCCUAUUGAUGUAUCAUUGUUUCAAAGUAUCAAAAAUGUGGUGGCGACCGAAAUAACAAUCUCAAAGAUUAAUUGAACUAAGUGAUGGAAGUUCUCUCUUAUCGGGUGGUAUCCCAGGGGCAUAAGCCUAGCAUGGGUCGAUCCCUAUUUAUGUGUUUAUGGGUGGUAUCCCAGGGGCAUAAGCCUAGCAUGGGUCGAUCCCAGUUGAUAUGUACUGGAGGCAGCCUAAUGGUCACAGUACAGUACAGUAAUGAUUACAAAGACGAUAAGAACGAAGGUAAAGUGAUUGAAUAAAUACAAUGUACAGGUUGUCACAAGUUCUAAUAAGUGUGGUCCACUCCUAUUACGAUUUAUUCACUUGUUUCUGAUUUCUAUUGAGCUCCUAUAUCAUAUGUGAUUAUUUACAGCUUUACAUACUCAGUACAUAUUUCGUACUGACGUCCCUCACGGGGGACCUGCAUUUCAUGCUGCAGGCACAGGUACCUCAACUCAUACACCGCACAAGUAGGAGCCAGGUCAUACAGCUAUUGUUGGUGAGCUCCAGUUUGCUUCGGAGCUUUCCGAGUCGGUUCCUUAUAUUUUGUUAUUGUACAUGAGUCAUGUGUGGGCGGGGGUUUGUCCCGACCCUAGUUAUGUCAUGUAUAUCCUAGAGGCUUUGUAGACAUAAGGAAGGAUAAAGUCAUGGAAGUUUAUAUAGUAACGUUAUAUUUGUAUAUGUGGUGGCCCCGACGGCCAAGUAUUAUAUAUAUAUAU
This 8133-nucleotide long non-coding RNA is filed under the name Capsicum annuum. Its description in RNAcentral is "long non-coding RNA (CANN_LNC014814)". Lineage: Eukaryota; Viridiplantae; Streptophyta; Magnoliopsida; Solanales; Solanaceae. The record is from RNAcentral.